RNAcentral lists this ribosomal RNA (465 nucleotides) under uncultured bacterium. Its description in RNAcentral is "partial 16S ribosomal RNA". It matches the Rfam family "Bacterial small subunit ribosomal RNA", at positions 28 to 507 of the family's 1533-position model. The record is from RNAcentral.
GACGAACGCUGGCGGCGUGCUUAACACAUGCAAGUCGUACGGUAAGGCCCUUUCGGGGGUACACGAGUGGCGAACGGGUGAGUAACACGUGAGUAACCUGCCCACAACUUUGGGAUAACGCUAGGAAACUGGUGCUAAUACUGGAUAUGUGCUCCUGCUGCAUGGUGGGGGUUGGAAAGCUCCGGCGGUUGUGGAUGGACUCGCGGCCUAUCAGCUUGUUGGUUGGGUAGUGGCCUACCAAGGCGGCGACGGGUAGCCGGCCUGGGAGGGUGACCGGCCAAAUUGGGGCUGGGAUACGGCCCAGGCUCCUAAGGGGAGCAGCAGUGGGGAAUAUUGCACAAUGGGCGCGAGCCUGAUGCAGCAACGCCGCGUGCGGGAUGACGGCCUUCGGGUUGUAAACCGCUUUCAGCAGGGACGAAGCUUUUUGUGACGGUACCUGCAGAAGAAGCACCGGCUAACUACGUG